RNAcentral lists this ribosomal RNA (4611 nucleotides) under Triticum aestivum (bread wheat). Its description in RNAcentral is "partial small subunit ribosomal RNA". Lineage: Eukaryota; Viridiplantae; Streptophyta; Magnoliopsida; Poales; Poaceae. The record is from RNAcentral.
CACGCACUCCCCCCCCUCACUCCCGUCCACCUCCACCGGAUCAGGGAGGCAGUUGCCACACCACACCACCCGCCUCUUCCCCCUUCCGCCCACCGGCAAGGCCAUUCCCGCGCGCCGCCGGUCGCCCAGGUGCACGUCCACCCCCUUUUUUCUCCCUCCCCCCUCCUAUUCCCGGGUGCCAAUCCCAUUGCCUGCUCCUCGCGAACGCAUCAUUGUUCCAUCUUGCAUUGCGUUACUCCUUCACGCAAUCUUGCUCCGGCUUCACUCGCUCCUCCUCCAUGCCCAUGCACACGCGCGGCACGCCGGUAAAUUUACCGGUCGCUGAUGGGUGCGAUGGCCCAAAGAUUGGCGCUCUUCGCUCCUCUUUUGGUGCCCUUUCUUCCCUGUCCCCGGCUCCCCUGCCGGCCAGAUUAGUUGAAAUAGGGGAGAUACACCCGCCUGCGUGCUUGCACUUUCCUGUCGAAUGCCAUGGUUACUAGUUUAAUUUGUUGAUUAACAGCAUGCUGCUAACGUUAUUUUUUUUAAAUAUAUGCAAGGGAGAGGCUGUGAUGCAAUUUAAGAGUCCUUUAAUCCGACUGAAUCUGCAUCAAGUAGUCUUCUCAGUUUAUUUAUGCAGCUCAUGGGAUUAUAUCGGCCCUUCGCGUUUCGACCUUUCAGGAUAAUCUGUUCCCUUCCACUGUGAAUUGACUCUGAAUUGUUUCACCCACUACUUAUUAAUCUAGCUGUUAAACGAGUUACACAAAGGCAUAAUAUCGAUCACUAGUAUUGAUUCUUGACUACGGGCACGGUUUCUUGCUCUGGCAAACUAUCUGGGGUCGCUCAUUGUGCCAUGCUAAGUUCUUGCUUAUAUCAUAUCAUAAGUGGUACUGGGAUUGGAUGUAAAUAGUUGUUGGUACAAGUAUAACACUCAUAUUUCCGUCUUGGUCACAGAACUUGGAGAAGAAGGAAAAAAACAAUUUAUCGUCACCACUGUGAGAAUCAAUUUAUCUUGAAGCUUGCAGACUCGAAGGAACACUUGUCGUGCAUUGUGCACACUAUUGCUCUGAGAAAAAGUAGCUAUAGUACUUAAAGCAACUUUUCUUGGAUGGGUUCAGACAAGCAGAGUGGUAGCCCACUAUUGGGAACCCUCAAGAUGGAGAGGGUUCGGACGAUCCUGACACACACGCCAUAUCCUCAUGAACACUCGAGGCAUAUCAUGACAGCAGUGAUAAUUGGGUGCCUCUUUUUCAUCUCGUCCGACAAUAUGCAUACUCUGAUACAUAAACUGGACAGCAAUAUCAAAUGGUGGUCCAUGUAUGUUUGCUUGAUUGGUUUCUUCUACUUCUUUUCAUCUCCCUUCCUUGGAAGAACAAUUCAGCCGAGUUACUCAAAUUUCAACCGAUGGUAUGUCGCUUGGAUUUGCUUUGCAUCCCUGUAUCAUCUCCCUAGCUUCCAAUCAAUGGGCGUUGAUAUGCGCAUGAACCUUUCACUUUUUUUGACUAUAUAUUUCUCUUCUGUCCUCUUCAUCACCGCCUUUCACAUCAUAUUUAUUGGUCUCUGGUACAUUGGACUGGUUGCUCGCAUGGCAGGCACAAGACCAGGAAUAUGGACCAUAGUACAAAACUGUACUGUCAUCAGUAUUGCAUGCUGUGUAUUCUACAGUCAUUGCGGGAAUCUUGCUGUCCCCAAAAGCGAGUCUUUUGACAAGAGUUCUGAUCCAAGUUUGCUGGCUUUUCUUAAAAACGAAAAUGGAACCACAUGGAUAUCAAAUUUUCUCUUUAUGAAUGAACUAAAAGAUCAGAUAUGUUCAUCUUGGUUUGCACCUGUUGGAUCUGCAACUGACUAUCCUCUUCUGUCAAAGUGGGUUAUAUAUGGGGAGUUUGCAGUGGAUCCUGUGCUGGCCCAUCAGAUGAAAUAUCUCCUCUGUACUCACUGUGGGCUACAUUCGUCGGCCUUUAUAUUGCCAACUUUGUUGUGGAGAGAUCAACUGGAUGGGCUCUUACUCACUUGUCACCAGUAUCAGAAGAGGAGAAGCUCAGAAAACAUAUGAAACCAGAUUUCCUGGAUAUGGUACCUUGGUACUCAGGGACAUCGGCUGAUUUAUUCAAGACAGCGUUUGAUCUUAUGGUCUCUGUAACUCUUUUUGUCGGGCGAUUUGACAUGCGCAUGAUGCAGGCUGCAAUGAAAAGUACUACAGAUGAAACUCGGAAUGAUGAUGUGCUCUAUGACUAUUUCAAUGAAAGAGAAGACCUUUGGUUUGACUUUGUCGCAGACACCGGUGAUGGUGGAAAUUCAUCAUAUACAGUUGCCCGGCUGCUGGCUCAGCCAUCCAUUCAGACUGUAAUUGGUGGUUCUAUGCAUACUCUUCCACGUGGAAAUUUGCUUGUUAUUGGCGGAGAUCUUGCGUAUCCAAACCCUUCGUCCUUUACAUAUGAGAGACGCUUCUUUGGUCCUUUUGAGUAUGCUAUGCAACCUCCGCGUUGGUAUAAGGCUGAACAUAUAGCUGUGGAUAAGCCUGAGGUUCCUCCGGGCGUAUCAAAGAUGAAAAAAUAUGAUGGACCUCAAUGUUUCAUAAUUCCCGGGAACCACGAUUGGUUCGAUGGGCUUCACACCUUCAUGAGAUAUAUAUGUCACAAAAGCUGGUUAGGUGGAUGGUUUCUGCCUCAGAAGAAGAGUUACUUCGCAUUGCAGCUUCCGAAAGGUUGGUGGAUAUUUGGUCUUGAUCUAGCUCUUCAUGGUGACAUUGAUGUGUACCAAUUCAAGUUCUUCGCAGAACUUUGUCGGAAUAAGUUAUGCAGGUUGGAGAGAACGACUCUGUGAUCAUUGUUACACACGAGCCAAACUGGCUCCUUGAUUGGUAUUGGAAGGAGAUUACAGGCAAGAAUGUCUCACAUUUGAUUCAGGACUACCUGAAUGGAAGGUGCAAACUUCGUAUGGCUGGGGAUUUGCAUCAUUUUAUGAGGCAUUCUGCUACACCAUCAGAUAAACCAACUUUUGUUGAACACUUACUUGUCAAUGGAUGUGGUGGUGCCUUUCUGCACCCAACACAUGUUUUCAAAAACUUUGAAAGGUUCUCUGGUACUACCUACGAGUGCAAGGCUGCUUAUCCCUCCUAUGAGGAAUCUAGUGGGAUUGCACUGGGCAACAUAUUAAAAUUCCGCAAGAAGAAUUGGCAGUUCGACAUAAUUGGUGGUUUUAUUUACUUCAUACUGGUAUUCUCCAUGUUCCCACAGUGUAAUCUUGUUCACAUCUUAAAUGAGGAAACAUGGUCUGGGCGUCUGCAAAGCUUCUCAAGUACAAUAUGGAGUGCUUUGCUUUUUAUUUUUGAACACUCUUACGUCUCCUCAGUAGGAAGUCUAACUUUGUUGAUGGCAUCAUAUUCAUUUGUACCAUCCAAACUCACACGGAAAAAAAGAGCUAUUAUUGGUGGCCUGCAUGUUUUGGCCCAUCUGACUGCAGCUCUAGUUUUAAUGUUGCUCAUGGAGUUGGGCAUUGAAAUAUGUAUACGGAAUCAUUUACUGGCAACGUCAGGUUAUCACCCUCUAUAUGAUUGGUAUCGGUCAAUGGAAAGUGAGCAUUUCCCAGAUCCAACUGGUCUUCGUACUCGAUUGGAACAAUGGACGCUUGGACUAUAUCCAGCAUGUAUAAAAUACCUUAUGUCAGCCUUUGACGUCCCAGAGGUCAUGGCUGUUACAAGGAUCAACAUUUGCAAGAACGGCAUGAUGUCUCUUUCUCGGAGUGUUCUGAUCAUGUACUAUACUUCUGUAUUUAUCUAUUUCUGGAUUUUCUCAACUCCAGUUGUUUCCCUCAUAUUUGGUAGUUACCUAUACAUAUGCAUCAACUGGUUCCACAUACACUUUGAUGAAGCCUUCUCGUCUUUGCGCAUCGCAAACUACAAAUCUUUCACAAGGUUCCAUAUUAAGAAGGACGGUGAUCUAGAAAUAUUUACACUUGCAGUUGACAAGGUCCCAAAGGAUUGGAAGUUGGAUCCCAAGUGGGAGGCAGAGGAAAGAGGGCCUCAUCAGCUCAGCCACCACCGGAGAUACCCUAGCAAAUGGAGGUCAGCCUCAUCUCCAGACCCCGUCAGGUCGGUGCGGGUCGUUGACCAUUUCACCAUCACAAGAACAGUAGCACCAGAUUCCGAGACCUCCUGCUGAUUCCCUACAUCAUUGCUGGUGAAGUACUUCUUCGAGACAUUAGCGAUUGCUUGCGCAGAUUGUCAGUUUUUCAUCCCAUAUCCAGCUUGACUUGGGCUGACCUAUGAUAUCUGCUCCGGUGUUGCCUUCAGCUCUCUAUGCUAACUUCAUCUCCGGCAUUGCACAGCAUAUAGCAGAGAUUUACUUGUGUACUAGUUAACUGGUAACAAAGAAGAAUGGAUGGAGGAAACAUAGAAAAAAUUCGAUUCAUCAGAUAGCUUGUAUUUUGAGUGCAUGCUCUUUAUAGUUUAUACCGAAAGAUAGUGGAACACGGCCAAUUUUUGUCAUGUGGAAACAUAUAUCCUGGAUGUAGAUUUCACUGAAACACGGAGUGUAAAUUUCACUAUUUUCUGUAGAAGGAACCGAGUUUAUUAUUUGUGGAAUUCGCUUCGUUACUCUGGUGCCAUUGAUUCCUAGUACAUGCAUAUCUGCAAUG